This 407-nucleotide ribosomal RNA is filed under the name uncultured bacterium. RNAcentral's name for it is "bacterial SSU rRNA". It matches the Rfam family "Bacterial small subunit ribosomal RNA", at positions 355 to 776 of the family's 1533-position model. The record is from RNAcentral.
UGGGGAAUAUUGGGCAAUGGGCGCAAGCCUGACCCAGCAACGCCGCGUGAAGGAAGAAGGGUUUCGGCUCGUAAACUUCUAUCAACAGGGACGAAAGAAAUGACGGUACCUGAAUAAGAAGCCCCGGCUAACUACGUGCCAGCAGCCGCGGUAAUACGUAGGGGGCAAGCGUUAUCCGGAAUUACUGGGUGUAAAGGGUGAGUAGGCGGCAUGGUAAGCCAGAUGUGAAAGCCUUGGGCUUAACCCGAGGAUUGCAUUUGGAACUAUCAAGCUAGAGUACAGGAGAGGAAAGCGGAAUUCCUAGUGUAGCGGUGAAAUGCGUAGAUAUUAGGAAGAACACCAGUGGCGAAGGCGGCUUUCUGGACUGAAACUGACGCUGAGGCACGAAAGCGUGGGGAGCGAACAGG